AGUGAACGCUGGCGGUAGGCCUAACACAUGCAAGUCGAACGGCAGCACAGUAAGGGCUUGCUCUUACGGGUGGCGAGUGGCGGACGGGUGAGGCAUACAUCGGAAUCUACUUUUUCGUGGGGGAUAACGUAGGGAAACUUACGCUAAUACCGCAUACGACCUACGGGUGAAAUCAGGGGAUCUUCGCACCUUGCGCGAUUGAAUGAGCCGAUGUCGGAUUAGCUAGUUGGCGGGGUAAAGGCCCACCAAGGCGACGAUCCGUAGCUGGUCUGAGAGGAUGAUCAGCCACACUGGAACUGAGACACGGUCCAGACUCCUACGGGAGGCAGCAGUGGGGAAUAUUGGGCAAUGGGCGCAAGCCUGAUCCAGCCAUACCGCGUGGGUGAAGAAGGCCUUCGGGUUGUAAAGCCCUGUUGUUGGGAAAGAAAAGCAGCAGGUUAAUACCCCGCUGUUCUGACGGUACCCAAAGAAUAAGCACCGGCUAACUUCGUG
RNAcentral lists this ribosomal RNA (492 nucleotides) under uncultured bacterium. RNAcentral's name for it is "partial 16S ribosomal RNA". It matches the Rfam family "Bacterial small subunit ribosomal RNA", at positions 29 to 507 of the family's 1533-position model. The record is from RNAcentral.